RNAcentral lists this ribosomal RNA (253 nucleotides) under uncultured bacterium. RNAcentral describes it as "partial 16S ribosomal RNA". It matches the Rfam family "Bacterial small subunit ribosomal RNA", at positions 524 to 776 of the family's 1533-position model. The record is from RNAcentral.
UACGUAGGCAGCGAGCGUUGUUCGGAGUUACUGGGCGUAAAGGGUGUGUAGGCGGUUUUCUAAGUUUGGUGUGAAAUCUCCCGGCUUAACCGGGAGGGUGCGCCGAAAACUGGGAGACUAGAGUGCGGGAUGGGAGAGUAGAAUUCCUGGUGUAGCGGUGAAAUGCGUAGAUAUCAGGAGGAAUACCGGUGGUGCAGACGGCUCUCUGGACCGCAACUGACGCUGAGACACGAAAGCGUGGGGAGCAAACAGG